Molecule: non-coding RNA, 108 nt
Organism: Parathielavia appendiculata
Lineage: Eukaryota; Fungi; Ascomycota; Sordariomycetes; Sordariales; Chaetomiaceae
Source: the annotation of a RefSeq genome assembly
GGGCGUGUGGCUCAGUUGGUAGAGCGUUCGCUUAGCACUCUCAGGUCUCUGUCAGGAGAUUCCACGCGGUUCUGCGAAAGGUCCUGGGUUCGAUUCCCAGCUCGUCCA